GCCGCGUGAGUGAAGUAAGGGUUUUCGGAUCGUAAAGCUCUGUUGUUGGUGAAGAAGGAUAGAGGUAGUAACUGGCCCCUAUUUGACGGUAAUCAACCAGAAAGUCACGGCUAACUACGUGCC
RNAcentral lists this ribosomal RNA (123 nucleotides) under uncultured bacterium. Its description in RNAcentral is "partial 16S ribosomal RNA". It matches the Rfam family "Bacterial small subunit ribosomal RNA", at positions 396 to 509 of the family's 1533-position model. The record is from RNAcentral.